UUAAGUUAUUAAGGGCGCACGGUGGAUGCCUUGGCACUAGAAGCCGAUGAAGGACGUUACUAACGACGAUAUGCUUUGGGGAGCUGUAAGUAAGCUUUGAUCCAGAGAUUUCCGAAUGGGGAAACCCAGCAUGAGUUAUGUCAUGUUAUCGAUAUGUGAAUACAUAGCAUAUCAGAAGGCACACCCGGAGAACUGAAACAUCUUAGUACCCGGAGGAAGAGAAAGAAAAUUCGAUUCCCUUAGUAGCGGCGAGCGAAACGGGAAGAGCCCAAACCAAAAAGCUUGCUUGUUGGGGUUGUAGGACACUCUAUACGGAGUUACAAAGGACGACAUUAGACGAAUCAUCUGGAAAGAUGAAUCAAAGAAGGUAAUAAUCCUGUAGUCGAAAAUGUUGUCUCUCUUGAGUGGAUCCUGAGUACGACGGAGCACGUGAAAUUCCGUCGGAAUCUGGGAGGACCAUCUCCUAAGGCUAAAUACUCUCUAGUGACCGAUAGUGAACCAGUACCGUGAGGGAAAGGUGAAAAGCACCCCGGAAGGAGAGUGAAAUAGAACCUGAAACCGUGUGCUUACAAGUAGUCAGAGCCCGUUAAUGGGUGAUGGCGUGCCUUUUGUAGAAUGAACCGGCGAGUUACGAUUUGAUGCAAGGUUAAGCAGUAAAUGUGGAGCCGUAGCGAAAGCGAGUCUGAAUAGGGCGUUUAGUAUUUGGUCGUAGACCCGAAACCAGGUGAUCUACCCUUGGUCAGGUUGAAGUUCAGGUAACACUGAAUGGAGGACCGAACCGACUUACGUUGAAAAGUGAGCGGAUGAACUGAGGGUAGCGGAGAAAUUCCAAUCGAACCUGGAGAUAGCUGGUUCUCUCCGAAAUAGCUUUAGGGAUAGCCUCAAGUGAUGAUUAUUGGAGGUAGAGCACUGUUUGGACGAGGGGCCCCUCUCGGGUUACCGAAUUCAGACAAACUCCGAAUGCCAAUUAAUUUAACUUGGGAGUCAGAACAUGGGUGAUAAGGUCCGUGUUCGAAAGGGAAACAGCCCAGACCACCAGCUAAGGUCCCAAAAUAUAUGUUAAGUGGAAAAGGAUGUGGCGUUGCCCAGACAACUAGGAUGUUGGCUUAGAAGCAGCCAUCAUUUAAAGAGUGCGUAAUAGCUCACUAGUCGAGUGACACUGCGCCGAAAAUGUACCGGGGCUAAACAUAUUACCGAAGCUGUGGAUUGUCCUUUGGACAAUGGUAGGAGAGCGUUCUAAGGGCGUUGAAGCAUGAUCGUAAGGACAUGUGGAGCGCUUAGAAGUGAGAAUGCCGGUGUGAGUAGCGAAAGACGGGUGAGAAUCCCGUCCACCGAUUGACUAAGGUUUCCAGAGGAAGGCUCGUCCGCUCUGGGUUAGUCGGGUCCUAAGCUGAGGCCGACAGGCGUAGGCGAUGGAUAACAGGUUGAUAUUCCUGUACCACCUAUAAUCGUUUUAAUCGAUGGGGGGACGCAGUAGGAUAGGCGAAGCGUGCGAUUGGAUUGCACGUCUAAGCAGUAAGGCUGAGUAUUAGGCAAAUCCGGUACUCGUUAAGGCUGAGCUGUGAUGGGGAGAAGACAUUGAGUCUUCGAGUCGUUGAUUUCACACUGCCGAGAAAAGCCUCUAGAUAGAAAAUAGGUGCCCGUACCGCAAACCGACACAGGUAGUCAAGAUGAGAAUUCUAAGGUGAGCGAGCGAACUCUCGUUAAGGAACUCGGCAAAAUGACCCCGUAACUUCGGGAGAAGGGGUGCUCUUUAGGGUUAACGCCCAGAAGAGCCGCAGUGAAUAGGCCCAAGCGACUGUUUAUCAAAAACACAGGUCUCUGCUAAACCGUAAGGUGAUGUAUAGGGGCUGACGCCUGCCCGGUGCUGGAAGGUUAAGAGGAGUGGUUAGCUUCUGCGAAGCUACGAAUCGAAGCCCCAGUAAACGGCGGCCGUAACUAUAACGGUCCUAAGGUAGCGAAAUUCCUUGUCGGGUAAGUUCCGACCCGCACGAAAGGCGUAACGAUUUGGGCACUGUCUCAACGAGAGACUCGGUGAAAUCAUAGUACCUGUGAAGAUGCAGGUUACCCGCGACAGGACGGAAAGACCCCGUGGAGCUUUACUGUAGCCUGAUAUUGAAAUUCGGCACAGCUUGUACAGGAUAGGUAGGAGCCUUUGAAACGUGAGCGCUAGCUUACGUGGAGGCGCUGGUGGGAUACUACCCUAGCUGUGUUGGCUUUCUAACCCGCACCACUUAUCGUGGUGGGAGACAGUGUCA
Molecule: ribosomal RNA, 2258 nt
Filed under: Staphylococcus aureus DAR5898
Lineage: Bacteria; Bacillati; Bacillota; Bacilli; Caryophanales; Staphylococcaceae
Description: bacterial LSU rRNA
Rfam family: Bacterial large subunit ribosomal RNA
Source: RNAcentral